GAAGUAUAAAAAUUAAAAUGUAUUGAUAAAGGUAAUAAAGAAAAAGAAGACGCUUUAAAGUGAAAAGGAAGCAGACAAAUUGUCAGUGGAAAGCUGUGCUUUAAUGCUUUAAAGUUUGAGCAUUGUAUCACAUACUCUGUAAUCGAUUCAAGCAAUGGAGUAGCAUUCGUCUCUGUGGAGUAACUUAACUUAACGUUUGAGCGUCUCUGUUUGAAGAGAUGGACGACCACUUGUUUCUUUAUAGCCAAUUCUUCCAUUGUUCUCUGCAUAUCUGUUAAAGGAGGUAACCUAAGUUUGCCUAUUUCUCCUCAUUUUUUCACUUCCAAAUUAGUUAGAUAUCAACUACAUCUGCUUCUUCUUAUAGAUGCUAUUGUUCUUGUUAUAUGUCACUCUCUUUUUUAUUCGUAUUAACUUCAAAAAUAGCAUUAAAUAUGUAAGUUCAAUUAGUUUUAUUAAUGGUUUAUUUCACUCUAUCUAAUUUUUUUAAACGGUCACUCUAAAGAGAAGAAUCAUCAAUUCUAUUUUUUUUAAACGGUCACUCUAUCUAAUUAGUUUUAUUAAUGGUUUAUAAAAUUACAUAUGACAAUAAGCAAAGAAAGACGAGGAGCAAACAAGAUUUUUCAAACGACCAAGACUUUUCAAAGACAUACAAGUGGAAGUUACAGCCUCAAUCAUGCAGAAUUAAUAAUAAUAAUAAUUCUGAAUUCUGAUAGCACCCACCACACAACAAUAAUAAAUAAACCAUGAAGACUUCUCCAAGACAUACAAAUGAAACUUAUAGUCUCCCUCGAUCACGCAGAAUUAAUAUUAAUAAUUGGUAGUGUUAGAGAAAGGGUGUGCUUUCAUUCUUAUCUCUUUCAUCAGUAGUGAGAUUCAAGCAUCGGACUACAUUCAUCUCUCUCUCUGAAGGUAUCGAUCAGUGUAAAGUUAACUUCUGUUCUGCUCUUAUUUGAAAUUUUAAUCGUUUCCUUUUCAAUGAAAGUUGUAGAUAAUGUGUUUGUGUUUAUGUUUGUAUUUGCAGUAACUUAACAUUUCAG
RNAcentral lists this small RNA (1037 nucleotides) under Vigna angularis var. angularis. Its description in RNAcentral is "Non-protein coding transcript". The record is from RNAcentral. Lineage: Eukaryota; Viridiplantae; Streptophyta; Magnoliopsida; Fabales; Fabaceae.